UCGGUGAAAUGCGUAGAUAUCGAGAGGAACACCUGCGGCGAAGGCGGGUUGCUGGGCUGACACUGACGCUGACAGCGCGAAAGCUAGGGGAGCGAACGGGAUUAGAUACCCCGGUAGUCCUAGCCUUAAACGAUGAAUGCUUGGUGUCUGGGGUUUUAUAGUCCCCGGGUGCCGUCGCUAACGCUUUAAGCAUUCCGCCUGGGGAGUACGGUCGCAAGACUGAAACUCAAAUGAAUUGACGG
This 242-nucleotide ribosomal RNA is filed under the name uncultured bacterium. Its description in RNAcentral is "partial 16S ribosomal RNA". It matches the Rfam family "Bacterial small subunit ribosomal RNA", at positions 678 to 916 of the family's 1533-position model. The record is from RNAcentral.